This 501-nucleotide ribosomal RNA is filed under the name uncultured bacterium. RNAcentral's name for it is "partial 16S ribosomal RNA". It matches the Rfam family "Bacterial small subunit ribosomal RNA", at positions 30 to 523 of the family's 1533-position model. The record is from RNAcentral.
AUUGAACGCUGGCGGCAUGCCUUACACAUGCAAGUCGAACGGCAGCACGGGUGCUUGCACCUGGUGGCGAGUGGCGAACGGGUGAGUAAUACAUCGGAACGUACCUUAUCGUGGGGGAUAACGCAGCGAAAGUUGCGCUAAUACCGCAUACGCCCUGAGGGGGAAAGCGGGGGACCGUAAGGCCUCGCGCGAUUAGAGCGGCCGAUGUCUGAUUAGCUUGUUGGUGAGGUAAAAGCUCACCAAGGCGAUGAUCAGUAGCUGGUCUGAGAGGACGAGCAGCCCCACUGGGACUGAGACACGGCCCAGACUCCUACGGGAGGCAGCAGUGGGGAAUUUUGGACCAUGGGCGCAACCCUGAUCCAGCAAUGCCGCGUGAGUGAAGAAGGCCUUCGGGUUGUAAAGCUCUUUUGUCAGGGAAGAAACAGCAGCUCUAACACAGUCUGCGAAUGACGGUACCUGAAGAAUAAGCACCGGCUAACUACGUGCCAUCCGCCGCCGUAA